GGGAGAAAAGGGGAGGGAGUCGGAGGCAGAGACAGGAGAGAGAGGGGGCGGAUUCUGAGGCCAUGGGGGGCCGCAAAGGCUUGAGGAGCCUAGGGCUCACCACCGCCCCAAGGAGCUGCACUCCUGCACCUGCGGAGGUGGUGACGAAGGAAGGGACCAGCGUAGGGGGAGGGGCGGGGAGAGCGCGGCGGAAGCCAGAGAGCGCCUUGACCCUGCGCUCAGUCGGUCAGUGAGCGCGGGCCAGCGGGAUGGAGCCUCAGUAUCUGCGCCCCGGGUUUGGAUCCCAGAGCACAGCCUGGGUGGAACCGGGGCUCCUGGUGUACCACCAUCAUUCCCAACACUCCAGUUCAGAAGAUGGGUGAGGAAAGUGGAAAGUCUAAUCAGUCAGCCGAUGACCAGUGGGAAAAAUGAGCUACAAGAUCACCUGAUCUUCAUCAGUGAGAAAGCUUUGCACAAGAGGUAUUUUUCAUUCUGUCAAACAUCAUGGUCAAUUUCUUGGGUCUAUGGUAUGGCCUACAAUUUAUUCUUAUUAAAUUUUAUGGUACUUGGAGACUGUAACUCCAGGGUGUCACUGUGCCCAACCUUUUCUCGAUAAACAUUCUCACAGGCUGAACUUGAAGUCAGAGCAGGAGUGAGCUGCGGACAUAGGCUAUUCUAUUUCUUUUAUAUGAAACUGAAAUCCUACCACUCAGGGAUUGAAGAGGAUGUGAUGUCUCAGCAUGUAUUAAUAGAGGCACUGACAUGUGACCAUUUGAGUGAGAUAUUAGUUGCUGUGAGGUUUUGAUUGAUUGUUUGCUUGCUUGAGUUCGUUGUUUGUUUGUUUGUUUGUAAAGCUUUGUAAUCAUCUGGCAGGUGUUGCUUGCUGAAGCUUGCUAUAUCACCAGGAAAGCUUGGUCCCAUUUGGUCCAUCCUGAUACAUGAUGGAAGGUCUUGGGCUCAUUAAUACUCUUCUCAGAUUUUGGGCCUUAUAAACAGAAUGUCCUCUGCAUUUCCUCUGGAUUCUAUUUCAAUUGUACUUUCUCAUUCUCCCUGCAAACACACCCUGAUUCUGUGUGCAUGCAUGUGUGUGUGUGUGUGUGUGUGUGUGUGUGUGUGUGUGUGUGCGCGACUCUCUCUAUAUUCUGGUCAUAAGGGUAUGUGCUAGGACCUGAGGAAUUGCCUGCCUUACACUCUGCUGACAAUGCCAAUGCUUAGGACUGGAAACCAUACUUCAAGCAACAAUGCACUUGCAUUAUGUGUUCAACUUGAUGAAAUAUUUGAGUUCUGUGGUGAAUUCACUAUGACCUCCUUAUGCUGGUUCAUUCUCCCAGAAAUGUAGAUUAUUUAGCUUGGCCAAAUUCAUAGGACUAGGCCAAGGAUCAAGAGUCCCUGUUUUGAAAAAAAAAAAAAAAAAAAAAAAAAAAAAGGAGAAAUGUCCUCAUAGUUUCUGGUAUACCCACACCCGUGCAAUAAACUACUGAGAGUUUAGAGACCUAGUCUGUCCCUCCAGGCCUAUGCGGGAGCUCAAAGAACCAGAACUCUAACCACCUCGAUACCCAGCCUCUGGAGACAUAUGGACAAAAGAGCAAGAUUAACAAGCUUAGAUGAUCCAGGUACAUAGGAGGUAGAAGGUAACAUACUGUGAGCUUGGAUAGUUCAGAAUCCAUCCUGGAUUCAGGUGACCCUUGAAGCCUGUGUUCUUGGGGCUCUUUGCUCUUGGGGCCAUGCCCAACCACAGAUCAAAUCUUUACUAUGAAAAAUUGAAAGUGGAGACUAAGCAGGUAAUGUUGGACCUGCAGAGCUUACAGAAUGUGUACACUGAGCCUCAGAGACAUUUGAAGGCCUAGCAAAGAGAAAGGCUGCUAUAGGUAACUGUCUGUCUUGCUUGGGAGCACAUGAGCUGUAGAAUUGCCAUCUCUGCAUUUGAUCCUGCACAGGAGACUCUGCAGCUCUGGUUCUAGCUUUCCGCCACUUCACACAGGAGCCUUUAGAUUUGCUGUUGUAAACCUGUGGGUUGAAACACUUGGUGGGGUGAGUGUCAAAGGACCCUUUCACAGAGGUUGUGUAUCAGACAAUCCUUUAUCUCAGACACUUCUAUUAUGGCUUAUAACAGUACAAAAAUUAUAGUAACCAAGUAGCAAUGAAAAUAAUCUUAUGUUUGGGAGGUCACUGCAUUAAAUCUUCCACAGCAUUUGGUAGAUUGAGAAACUCUGCUGUAGACAGAACUAUUUGUAUCAUGUGAGGUCUUCUUGACCCCCGGGGCUGAGUCAGGAUCUGUAGAGAGCUAGUUACCAGCAGACCCAUAUAUAGCAAGUGUUCCCCUUGUUUCUUUUUUUCCAAUUCAUAGUGCCUUUGCCCAUUCCUUCGUGAUGUUUCUCCAUUAGGAUUGACAGAUAGGGACAACUGUAGUCCACUUCUUCUUUUUAGGAAACAUGGAUCCCUCUUGGUGUUGCAACUUUUGGAAGUAGCAUGAGUGUUUCUGGAAUUUGUGUUCUGUAGUUUUUUUCUUCUGAGAGCAGCUCACCUAGAUGUCCUGGGUUCUUAUCUAGGUCUUCCUGAGAACCAGGGUCUGGUGGGGUUGAUGGUGUUUCUUUAUAAGUUAAUAGGAAAAGGAGAGCAGGGGAUUUCUAUGCAAACGGUGUUUGCAGAAACCUGCACAGCCACCUUCUGAUGGAACUGAAUCAGCUGAAGAAGAAGGUAGACAUGCUGAGGAGGCACAGGAAUAAGAAAGUGCUGGAAGAUGAGGCACUGGUGCAGCAGUACUUGUGGGACUUAAAGGGGCCCCAUAAGGACCAACAGGAAGAGACCAUUGACUUCCAGAGUCAGGAACAGCAGGUAGAGACAGGCAGCUUUGUCAGGCUAAUGGUUAGCUCCAUCUGCCCUUGUAAAUUCUAGACCAGCUCAUCCACCUACCUGUGCUUUCAUCCAUCAUCUUACUCAUCCACACUCCAAUUCAAGUACCUACCUCAUGACAGCCAAUUGUUCAGGUCUAUGUCCAAGCACAAAUAUUUCUAGGGAAUGAGCUUCUUGUGAGAAAGUGGAUUAUCAGCAAGCAAAUCCACCUCUGCUUAAUGCUUCAGCCCAAAGAUGAGUACAGUUCAAUAAUACACCACACACCUACAGGGUUCAGUGCACAGAGCUUUAAGUGAGUCAAGUCAGGGCUUGUGGCUUAUUUGCUUGGCAUCAGUCCUAUAAGUUCACAUGUGAGAAGCAGCUGCAAGGGUGGGGGCAAACCCUUUGCAAAUGCCAAAUGAGCAGUUCUUGACAUCAUCUUUUUUGGGGUGAUAUGUGGCAUUUCUCAUCUUUGCUGUCUACAUUUCAAGACAAUCUUUUUAAUCUGCCCAGGACAGACUCACACUGACAGAACUCUGACUAGCAGAGGGUUAGCCAUGUUUUUUGUGAAUGAGGCUGGAGUACUCUCCUUUUCUGUAGAUUGCAUUCUCCUGUUGACUGGAUGACUAUAGAUGUGGGUAGGGACUCUGACAGGCUAGGGACAUGGUGUCAGAGAUUUAAGAUUGCAAGAGGAAAUUUUAUGCAACCACUUCAGCAUAGUCUGGCCAAGAAAAACAUGCUCACCAUAGCAAUUGUAUCUUCCACCUUUUGUUUUGCAUAGUGUAAGAUACCGCUCAAAUUGCUGGUAUGCUAUAACUAAAGGAAUGUGUUCUUGCAGCACGAGGUGCUUUCUUUUUGGUAUUUUGCUCUCAUUUACAUCCUCUGUUUUUGGUGGAUAGGCUGCGGAUAUGUGUGUUUUUGUGUGUGUGUAUGUUUUCUUUUUUGUAUAGUA
Mus musculus (house mouse) is the source of this 3763-nucleotide RNA transcript. It is a transcript of the gene named predicted gene 3373, with no coding region annotated. The transcript has 2 exons. The record is from RefSeq and is marked validated. Lineage: Eukaryota; Metazoa; Chordata; Mammalia; Rodentia; Muridae.